This 253-nucleotide ribosomal RNA is filed under the name uncultured bacterium. Its description in RNAcentral is "partial 16S ribosomal RNA". It matches the Rfam family "Bacterial small subunit ribosomal RNA", at positions 524 to 776 of the family's 1533-position model. The record is from RNAcentral.
UACGUAGGUGGCAAGCGUUGUCCGGAAUUAUUGGGCGUAAAGCGCGCGCAGGCGGUCCUUUAAGUCUGAUGUGAAAGCCCACGGCUCAACCGUGGAGGGUCAUUGGAAACUGGGGGACUUGAGUGCAGAAGAGGAGAGUAGAAUUCCACGUGUAGCGGUGAAAUGCGUAGAGAUGUGGAGGAACACCAGUGGCGAAGGCGACUCUCUGGUCUGUAACUGACGCUGAGGCGCGAAAGCGUGGGGAGCAAACAGG